This 404-nucleotide ribosomal RNA is filed under the name Fusobacteriota bacterium. RNAcentral's name for it is "Fusobacteria bacterium partial 16S ribosomal RNA". It matches the Rfam family "Bacterial small subunit ribosomal RNA", at positions 355 to 776 of the family's 1533-position model. The record is from RNAcentral. Lineage: Bacteria; Fusobacteriati; Fusobacteriota.
UGGGGAAUAUUGCACAAUGGAGGGAACUCUGAUGCAGCGACGCCGCGUGAGUAAUGAAGGACUUCGUUUCGUAAAACUCUGUUCUAUGGGAAGAAAAGGACUGUACCAUAGGAGAAAGCUCCGGCUAAAUACGUGCCAGCAGCCGCGGUAAUACGUAUGGAGCGAGCGUUGUCCGGAAUUAUUGGGCGUAAAGGGUGCGCAGGCGGCUUUACAAGUUGGAUGUGAAAUAUUGUGGCUCAACCACAAACGUGCAUCCAAAACUGCAAAGCUUGAGUUAAGGAGAGGUAAGUGGAAUUCCUGGUGUAGCGGUGGAAUGCGUAGAUAUCAGGAGGAAUACCGGUGGCGAAGGCGACUUACUGGACUUAAACUGACGCUCAGGCACGAAAGCGUGGGGAGCAAACAGG